Peromyscus maniculatus bairdii (prairie deer mouse) is the source of this 106-nucleotide small nuclear RNA. Lineage: Eukaryota; Metazoa; Chordata; Mammalia; Rodentia; Cricetidae. The record is from Ensembl.
GUGCUCUCUUUGGCAGCACACAUACUAAAAUUGGAAUGAUACAAAGAAGAUUAGCAUGGCCCUGUGCAAGGAUGAUACACAAAUUCAUGAAGUAUUUCAUAUUUGA